UACGGAGGGUGCAAGCGUUAUUCGGAAUUACUGGGCGUAAAGCGCGUGUAGGCGGGUAGGUAAGUCUGAUGGGAAAGCCCUGGGCUCAACCUGGGAAGUGCAUUGGAUAAUGCUUUUCUUGAGUUCUGGAGAGGAUGGGGGAAUUUCCGGUGUAGAGGUGAAAUUCGUAGAGAUCGGGAGGAAUAUCAGUGGAGAAGGCGCCCAUAUGGACGGCAAAUGACGCUGUGACGCGAAAGCGUGGGGAGCAAACAGG
This 253-nucleotide ribosomal RNA is filed under the name uncultured bacterium. RNAcentral describes it as "partial 16S ribosomal RNA". It matches the Rfam family "Bacterial small subunit ribosomal RNA", at positions 524 to 776 of the family's 1533-position model. The record is from RNAcentral.